AAACUGGGAUUAGAUACCCCACUAUGUUCAGCCGUAAACUUUAAUUUACAACCCAAUCGCCAGGGAACUACGAGCAAUGCUUAAAACUCAAAGGACUUGACGGUACCCCAUAUCCCCCUAGAGGAGCCUGUCCUAUAAUCGAUAACCCCCGUUCAACCUCACCACUUUUAGCUUUAUCAACCUGUAUACCUCCGUCGUCAGCUUACCUCGUGAGCGAAACCUAGUGAGCCUAAUGUCCACACGUCAAUACGUCAGGUCAAGGUGCAGUUCAUAAAGUGGGAAGAGAUGGGCUACACUUUCUAAUAUAGAAAACACGAAAAACUACCUAUGAAAUCUAGUUAAAAGGCGGAUUUAGCAGUAAAAAGAAAACAGAGUGUUCUUUUUAAUUUGGCACUGGGGUGUGUACACACCGCCCGUCACCCUCUUCAAAGCUUAUAAAAAGUAACUUAACUAACCCCCGCAAUUAUAGAAGAGGCAAGUCGUAACAUGGUAAGUAUACCGGAAGGUGUGCUUGGAUU
Molecule: ribosomal RNA, 518 nt
Filed under: Thoropa saxatilis
Lineage: Eukaryota; Metazoa; Chordata; Amphibia; Anura; Cycloramphidae
Description: partial 12S ribosomal RNA
Rfam family: Bacterial small subunit ribosomal RNA
Source: RNAcentral